GGGUGGGUGGGGGCUAGGAUGAAAAAUUUUGUCCUGCAUUUUUUUUUAGCUGUAAUCUCUGUCCUGCCUUUUUAUUUUUCACUCUAAUCGGUCCUGCCUUUUUUUUUUAGUUUAUCCUGACUUUUUUUUACCUAAAUUGUCGUCCUGACUUUUUUUUUUUGCAAGUGUCAUAUCCUGCCUUUGUUUUUACUCAAAACUCCUGUCCUGCCUAUUUUUUCAAAUUUCAUCCUAGCCCCCCAUAAAAAUCAAAU
RNAcentral lists this long non-coding RNA (251 nucleotides) under Mytilus galloprovincialis (Mediterranean mussel). The record is from RNAcentral. Lineage: Eukaryota; Metazoa; Mollusca; Bivalvia; Mytilida; Mytilidae.